This 554-nucleotide ribosomal RNA is filed under the name uncultured archaeon. RNAcentral's name for it is "bacterial SSU rRNA". It matches the Rfam family "Archaeal small subunit ribosomal RNA", at positions 911 to 1478 of the family's 1478-position model. The record is from RNAcentral.
UUCAACGCCGGAAAACUCACCGGGGGCGACAGCAAUAUGUAGGUCAAGCUAAAGACUUUACCAGAAUCGCUGAGAGGAGGUGCAUGGCCGUCGUCAGUUCGUACUGUGAAGCAUCCUGUUAAGUCAGGCAACGAGCGAGACCCGUGCCCACUGUUGCCAGCAUGUCCUUCGGGAUGAUGGGUACUCUGUGGGGACCGCCGAUGCUAAAUCGGAGGAAGGUGCGGGCUACGGUAGGUCAGUAUGCCCCGAAUCUCCCGGGCUACACGCGGGCUACAAUGACUGGGACAAUGGGCUCCUACCCCGAAAGGGGAUGGUAAUCUCAUAAACCCAGCCGUAGUUCGGAUCGAGGGCUGUAACCCGCCCUCGUGAAGCUGGAAUCCGUAGUAAUCGCGUUUCAACAUAGCGCGGUGAAUACGUCCCUGCUCCUUGCACACACCGCCCGUCAAACCACCCGAGUGAGGUAUGGGUGAGGGCAUGGACAUUGUGCUGUGUUCGAACCUAAAUUUCGCAAGGGGGGUUAAGUCGUAACAAGGUAACCAAGGGCGAAUUCCAGC